RNAcentral lists this ribosomal RNA (253 nucleotides) under uncultured bacterium. Its description in RNAcentral is "partial 16S ribosomal RNA". It matches the Rfam family "Bacterial small subunit ribosomal RNA", at positions 524 to 776 of the family's 1533-position model. The record is from RNAcentral.
UACGAAGGGGGCUAGCGUUGCUCGGAAUCACUGGGCGUAAAGGGCGCGUAGGCGGCCUGAUCAGUCGGGGGUGAAAGCCUGUGGCUCAACCACAGAAUGGCCUUCGAUACUGUCGGGCUUGAGACCGGAAGAGGUAAGUGGAACUGCGAGUGUAGAGGUGAAAUUCGUAGAUAUCAGGAGGAACACCGGUGGUGUAGACGGCUUACUGGACCACGACUGACACUGAGGCACGAAAGCGUGGGUAGCAAACAGG